Molecule: microRNA precursor, 191 nt
Filed under: Oryza brachyantha (malo sina)
Lineage: Eukaryota; Viridiplantae; Streptophyta; Magnoliopsida; Poales; Poaceae
Description: MIR812 microRNA precursor family
Rfam family: MIR812 microRNA precursor family
Source: Rfam by way of RNAcentral
CCUAAAAUAAACCAUUUUUUUCUUUUUUCUUUUUAAUUUUUCGUCUUAUUUAAAAUUUUUUACGAUUGAUAUUUUUGUUUUUAUUAGAUGAUAAAUCAUGAAUAGUAUUUUGCGUGUGACUAAUUUUUUUUAAUUUCCUAAAUUUUUUUUAAAUAAGACGUAUGGUCAAACGUUGGACACGGAAACUGGAG